CGACAUUGGACAUUGACUCAAACAGAAAGGACAAGACAUGGUUUCCCAUAAAUAUCACAUGAAGAUAUUUCUAGUCUACACAUGUAGACAGAAAGAUCUGACAAUCACAAUAAUUCAAUACAGUACUGCGCAAGGGGCAGAUAUUUUGUGACCAGAGCCAUCAAGAGAGGUUUCAAGAUUCUGCAAUGGGGAAAGCUGAGCCGAUACGGUUGUUGCCAAGUCGGUAACAUUUGACAUUGACAUUGUAUGGACCCAACUGAAUGUGGUUAUCUUCUGUGCCCAUGAAGAAACACAUGGUGUAUAGAGCCAACUCGAACUCUGGACUUACUCCAACUAGAGUACUUGAGACUGAUUUUAGAACACCGUUCCACUCGAAUUGGAUUGUUAGCAGCUGAGUCUCUGAAUCAGGCUGCAUACGAAGCAAAAGUGUGGUUUCUCGGUCAGUCACCGGUUUUGAAGUACUUAUAUUUGGAGGACAUAUUUAGCAUUGAACGAAGCUAUGGUACUUACAAUUUCACCGCGACGUCGGGGAAAUAUAUAGCCUUGAUAAUCUACAGUUCCUUUGGCUUCCUCCAAGUAAAACUACAAGAAAAGAGAGCCAAUUUAAUCGGUUGUAAGUUUUACUGUUUUGAAUCGGACUUUCUUAGAGAUUUGAAUUCAUGGUAGGUGGAGGACAAAAAGUGUUUUACCUGAAGCCAGUUAUGGAAUCCAGAGACUUGUUCCCCACCAGAUUGUUUGAUCUCACCUACAAAGACAUGCUCAAACGCAGAAGAUGAGCCAGAUGUACCUCCGCGGCCAUACAGAUCGAACCAGAGACUUGUCAACAUUCUCUUGAACUCUAAGUAGCUUCCAGGAGCGACGUCCUUGAGCACAAGGUACCUGUGAAGGUACUUGAUCACAGAGGUUCUGCUAAUUUCUUCAAUGAAAGCCGCUUGCUCUUGCCUCUCUUCUUCUGUGACCACUUCUUUGUAACCUUCGUUGGGGUUGUAGUUGUCAAGCAAUGAACAGAAUCUGGCGAAAGUCGGUUUUCUAGAGACUUCCUCGCUCACCCAAGAGAACAGUAGUCCUUCAGCCAUAUCAGCUCUCUCAUGGACCCUUUUCCCAUCUCCGCAGUCGAUUUGAUAAUCCCUUCCAGGAACAAGGCGGUUUAAAUCGAGCUCCCACAGUUUGUUGCAAGCUUCUGAGAGACCUGAGAGCUCUAGUUGUGAGGGUUCUAGGUUUCCAUAAGUUUCAACUUCGUCUGAGUAGUGUUGUUCACUUGCUGGGCGUUUGUAAUCUUGCCAUUGCUCCUUCUGGACCUGCGGAGAAAGAGAGUGAUCACACAUCAAAUCAGUGGAAAAAAUGACGGGUAAAAUCAGCAGUUAGGGCUCUGUCUCGGUUUCGAAAAUUCAAACCUUAUGUGAUUGCCUUGCAGGUUUCUUUUUGCCCACAGUUUCCCAACCAUCAUUUUCCUCUUGCUGGCUCUCCUGUACUUGGAAUCAAAUGCCAACAUUAGAUCCUAAACAUGCUAGCUAAACUGACAUUAGGUUGAUUCUUCCUUUAUAAGAUGAUCUAAUGUAAGAGUAAACGAAGUGAUAUCUCACCGAGAAGUCUUGUUUCUCGCUCACUUUAGCCGCAUAUGUAUUCUCUUCCUGGUCCUCCUGCGUGGGGAAAUCAAAAUGCUGAAUAUUAAAGGCUUUUUGCAGGUAAGGAAGAGCCUGGUUUCUUGU
Molecule: long non-coding RNA, 1709 nt
Organism: Arabidopsis thaliana (thale cress)
Lineage: Eukaryota; Viridiplantae; Streptophyta; Magnoliopsida; Brassicales; Brassicaceae
Product: other RNA
Exons: 2
Source: RefSeq